RNAcentral lists this ribosomal RNA (406 nucleotides) under uncultured bacterium. RNAcentral's name for it is "partial 16S ribosomal RNA". It matches the Rfam family "Bacterial small subunit ribosomal RNA", at positions 29 to 526 of the family's 1533-position model. The record is from RNAcentral.
AAUGAACGCUGGCGGCAGGCCUAACACAUGCAAGUCGAGCGAGCGGCAGACGGGUGUGUAACGUCGGGGAAACAGCCUGAAGGAGGGGGUUACCUACUGGAAACGGUAGCUAAUCCCGCAUAGCAUCAGAUGUGCCAUGAAGGGAUUAGCUAGUAGGUGGGGUAAUGGCUCACCUAGGCGACGAUCCCUAGCUGGUCUGAGAGGAUGAGCAGCCACACUGGAACUGAGACACGGUCCAGACUCCUACGGGAGGCAGCAUUGGGGAAUAUUGCACAAUGGGCGCAAGCCUGAUGCAGCCAUGCCGCGUGUGUGAAGAAGGCCUUCGGGUCGUAAAGCUCUUUCAUCGAGGAGGCGUUACUCACUCAAGAAGCAACGGCUAACUCCGUGCCAGCAGCCGCGGUAAUUC